UCUGCCCAUCAGACGGGGACAACGAUUGGAAACGAUCGCUAAUACCGGAUAGGACGAAAGUUUAAGGGUGCUUCUGGCACCGCUGAUGGAUGAGCCUCCGGCGCAUUAGCUAGUUGGUAGGGGUAAAGGCCUACCAAGGCGACGAUGCGUAUCCGACCUGAGAGGGUGAACGCCCACACUGGGACUGAGACACGGCCCAGACUCUUACGGGAGCCAGCAGUAGGGAAUCUUCGGCAAUGGGCGAAAAGCCUGACCGAGCAACGCCGCGUGAAUGAUGAAGGCCUUCGGGUUGUCAAAUUCUGUUAUAAGGGAAGAACGACUCUAGUAGGACAUUGGCUAGAGUGUGACGGUACCUUAUGAGAAAGCCACGGCUAACUACGUGCCAGCAGCCGCGGUAAUACGUAGCUGGCGAGCGUUAUCCGGAAUUAUUGGGCGUAAAGAGCGCGCAGGUGGUUGAUUAAGUCUGAUGUGAAAGCCCACGGCUUAACCGUGGAGGGUCAUUGGAUACUGGUCGACUUGAGUGCAGAAGAGGGAAGUGGAAUUCCAUGUGUAGCGGUGAAAUGCGUAGAGAUAUGGAGGAACACCAGUGGCGAAGGCGGCUUCUUGGUCUGUAACUGACACUGAGGCGCGAAAGCGUGGGGAGCAAACAGGAUUAGAUACCUUGUUAGUCCACGCCGUGAACGAUGAGUGCUA
This 693-nucleotide ribosomal RNA is filed under the name uncultured bacterium. RNAcentral describes it as "bacterial SSU rRNA". It matches the Rfam family "Bacterial small subunit ribosomal RNA", at positions 125 to 818 of the family's 1533-position model. The record is from RNAcentral.